Vicia villosa (hairy vetch) is the source of this 812-nucleotide long non-coding RNA. RefSeq lists it as uncharacterized. The record is from RefSeq and is a predicted model, not a curated record. Lineage: Eukaryota; Viridiplantae; Streptophyta; Magnoliopsida; Fabales; Fabaceae. The transcript is spliced from 3 exons.
AGAGAAUAGCAACAAAAAAUUCCUAAAAUAGAGGAAAAUUGAAGAUUCCGCAUACACUCGGAUCUAAGUCGCUUGCAAGGAAGCAACAUGAGUUGGAAGUGAGAGAUGGGCGAUCAUAUAGCAGAGGAGAAAUGUAUGCAGUUUCACAUAAAAAAUCUGACGGGUCUUUUGUCAAUGAAGAUGCAUACCACAAUAAUGAAAAAAUACAAGCUGCAAUUAAGGAUUCUGUGUCUGAAAAUGAGGCAUUUCAGAAAGUAUUUGGAAAAGAACAUCCUGGAUAUGUUCGUAGUAUGGGACUUGGAGUUACGCCAUCUCAAAUUAAUAGAUCUACGAGAUCGGCGUCUUCUUUGGAAGAAAAUGAAAAAAAAUAAAGAAAAUGCAAGAAGAAAUUAAUGCACUUAAAGAAGAAUUCAAAAAUUGAUGAAUUGAUGGAGGCAGUCGCAUUCUUAAAGCAAAGGGAUAAUGCUAUGACAGAGGAAAUUGAACGCUUAAGGCAAAUGCAAAAUUCUAGUGGAAGACAGGUAUAUUAUUUUGAUGCAUUUAAAAUUAAAGCUCAUGAGUAUUAUUUUAAAUAGUAUUAUUUUAAUGCUUUUUUUUUCUUUCUGGGAUUGGAAUCACCCGCUGAUGGUAGACGUUCUUCUGAGUCUAGCUACCGAAUUGCAGAUAAUGAAUCAUCAAGAAGGACAAAUUAGACGUUGCUAUGAAUUAAUUAGAUCAUAAACUUUCCUAUGUAUUUUUCGCACUAUGAAUCUUAUUAUUAUAAGAUUAGGAUUUGAUAUGUUUUUUGGUUUUUUGUAUUACAUGACAUGAUU